RNAcentral lists this ribosomal RNA (253 nucleotides) under uncultured bacterium. Its description in RNAcentral is "partial 16S ribosomal RNA". It matches the Rfam family "Bacterial small subunit ribosomal RNA", at positions 524 to 776 of the family's 1533-position model. The record is from RNAcentral.
UACGAAGGGGGCUAGCGUUGCUCGGAAUUACUGGGCGUAAAGGGCUCGUAGGUGGCCAACUAAGUCAGACGUGAAAUCCCUCAGCUUAACUGGGGAACUGCGUCUGAUACUGGAUGGCUUGAGUUUGGGAGAGGGAUGCGGAAUUCCAGGUGUAGCGGUGAAAUGCGUAGAUAUCUGGAGGAACACCGGUGGCGAAGGCGGCAUCCUGGACCAAUACUGACACUGAGGAGCGAAAGCCAGGGGAGCAAACGGG